UCUGCCCUCCUAAAUAAAAUCUCCUGUUGCUAUCGUCCCAGUAACUGAGGAGUUGGUCUACAACUGCCCCCUCCUGUAUGAUGAUUGGGACGUCAAGCAUAUAGUAGAAAGUUGUCUACUAUAUCAAUCUUUUAUGGGCAUCCGUCAAUAGCUCUCGGAUAUCCCUGAUGAAGUUCAUGUAUUGCCGCAGAUAGCAGCGAUAAUUUAUCAAUCGGGGG
Molecule: long non-coding RNA, 218 nt
Filed under: Elaeis guineensis (African oil palm)
Lineage: Eukaryota; Viridiplantae; Streptophyta; Magnoliopsida; Arecales; Arecaceae
Description: long non-coding RNA (EGUI_LNC010976)
Source: RNAcentral